GACGAACGCUGGCGGCGUGCCUAAUACAUGCAAGUCGAGCGAAGUUUUUCUGGUGCUUGCACUAGAAAAACUUAGCGGCGAACGGGUGAGUAACACGUAAAGAACCUCUCUCAUAGACUGGGACAACUAUUGGAAACGAUAGCUAAUACCGGAUAACAGUAUUUCUCGCAUGAGAGAUAUUUAAAAGUUGGUUAUGCUAACACUAUGAGAUGGCUUUGCGGUGCAUUAGCUAGUUGGUGGGGUAAAGGCCCACCAAGGCGACGAUGCAUAGCCGACCUGAGAGGGUGAUCGGCCACACUGGGACUGAGACACGGCCCAGACUCCUACGGGAGGCAGCAGUAGGGAAUCUUCCGCAAUGGGCGAAAGCCUGACGGAGCAACGCCGCGUGAGUGAAGAAGGAUUUCGGUUCGUAAAGCUCUGUUGUUAGGGAAGAAUGGAUAUGUAGUAACUAUACAUGUAAGAGACGGUACCUAACCAGAAAGCCACGGCUAACUACGUG
Molecule: ribosomal RNA, 499 nt
Filed under: uncultured bacterium
Lineage: Bacteria
Description: partial 16S ribosomal RNA
Rfam family: Bacterial small subunit ribosomal RNA
Source: RNAcentral